UACGGAGGAUCCGAGCGUUAUCCGGAAUUAUUGGGUUUAAAGGGUGCGUAGGCGGCCAUUUAAGUCAGCGGUGAAAUUUUGCAGCUUAACUGUAACAGUGCCCUUGAUACUGUUUGGGCUAGGAUUUGGUUGUAGUGUGCGGAAUGUGUGGUGUAGCGGUGAAAUGCUUAGAUAUCACACAGAACACCGAUUGCGAAGGCAGCACACUAAGUCAUUAUUGACGCUGAGGCACGAAAGUGUGGGGAUCAAACAGGAUUAGA
RNAcentral lists this ribosomal RNA (260 nucleotides) under uncultured prokaryote. RNAcentral describes it as "partial 16S ribosomal RNA". It matches the Rfam family "Bacterial small subunit ribosomal RNA", at positions 524 to 782 of the family's 1533-position model. The record is from RNAcentral.